RNAcentral lists this ribosomal RNA (215 nucleotides) under Stagonosporopsis chrysanthemi. RNAcentral's name for it is "partial 28S ribosomal RNA". It matches the Rfam family "Eukaryotic large subunit ribosomal RNA", at positions 3182 to 3401 of the family's 3401-position model. Lineage: Eukaryota; Fungi; Ascomycota; Dothideomycetes; Pleosporales; Didymellaceae. RNAcentral also lists the same sequence under 2 other names. The record is from RNAcentral.
UCGGAUACGAAUAGGCCUUUGGCCCAGAACCUUACCAGAUCGGCGUUGGUGGCCUCAUUGAAAUUGGGGUCACUAGCCGGUGUAUUGCAAUUGUACAGUGCGCAGGAUUGAAUCCUUUGCAGACGACUUAGUUGUCUAGCCGGGUCGUGUAAGCAGUCGAGUAGCCUUGUAGUUACGAGCUGCUGAGCGUAAGCCCGCCGCUAGCUUGGUUGAAA